RNAcentral lists this ribosomal RNA (464 nucleotides) under Vreelandella stevensii. Its description in RNAcentral is "partial 16S ribosomal RNA". It matches the Rfam family "Bacterial small subunit ribosomal RNA", at positions 339 to 795 of the family's 1533-position model. Lineage: Bacteria; Pseudomonadati; Pseudomonadota; Gammaproteobacteria; Oceanospirillales; Halomonadaceae. The record is from RNAcentral.
CCACGGGGGGCAGCAGUGGGGAAUAUUGGACAAUGGGCGAAAGCCUGAUCCAGCCAUGCCGCGUGUGUGAAGAAGGCCUUCGGGUUGUAAAGCACUUUCAGUGGGGAAGAAAGCCUUGGGGCUAAUACCCUCGAGGAAGGACAUCACCCACAGAAGAAGCACCGGCUAACUCCGUGCCAGCAGCCGCGGUAAUACGGAGGGUGCGAGCGUUAAUCGGAAUUACUGGGCGUAAAGCGCGCGUAGGCGGUCUGAUAAGCCGGUUGUGAAAGCCCCGGGCUCAACCUGGGAACGGCAUCCGGAACUGUCAGGCUAGAGUGCAGGAGAGGAAGGUAGAAUUCCCGGUGUAGCGGUGAAAUGCGUAGAGAUCGGGAGGAAUACCAGUGGCGAAGGCGGCCUUCUGGACUGACACUGACGCUGAGGUGCGAAAGCGUGGGUAGCAAACAGGAUUAGAUACCCUUGUAGUC